UGCAAAUCGAAAACGAGCCCGGCGGUGA
RNAcentral lists this small RNA (28 nucleotides) under Bombyx mori (domestic silkworm). Its description in RNAcentral is "piRNA piR-bmo-1750812". The record is from RNAcentral. Lineage: Eukaryota; Metazoa; Arthropoda; Insecta; Lepidoptera; Bombycidae.